Oreochromis niloticus (Nile tilapia) is the source of this 704-nucleotide long non-coding RNA. RefSeq lists it as uncharacterized. Lineage: Eukaryota; Metazoa; Chordata; Actinopteri; Cichliformes; Cichlidae. The transcript has 2 exons. The record is from RefSeq and is a predicted model, not a curated record.
AGACGCACACACUGGAAAACCAGCGCCUAUACUUCAUGCAGGAGAGACGGCCUCAGUGAUAAUUCAUCAGCAGCUGUGGAGAGAUGCAUUUGAAUAUCUUCUGGUUCCACUUUUCCUUACCUGGAAGCUGAGUAUUGCUGAUUUCUGACAAGGACACAAACCUCAGUGCUUAUCAUGGGUGUUACAUCCUCUGUGCAGCAAUUCCAGAGACAACGAGAGAGCAACGACCACUCAUUAAGACCAUACAGAAAUCUGUCCCUUUCUGGCAGCUGUGGAAACUUCCAAUAAGAAAGUUUGCAUUCUUAGAGCAAUGCUGGAUCAUGUGUGAUGUGUCAUCAUAUGAGGAUAUUACAUUUUGCCUUAAUUCUGCUCAAUUAAGUGUUUUGAUCGUUGAUCCAGUAUGGCAGCUUUGUGUUGUGCUGCAAGUUAAAACCCAUUGUCCUCAUGAGCGCAGCAUCUAACAACUCUCCUUAAAAAAAAAGUCAAUUGACUUUAACUGGACACAAUGGUUUCCAGUGGGAGAUACAUUCAUCACUCAUCCGUGACACUGGAGAAGUCACCUGGAUGAGUGAUAAAACAAUUUUCCAUGGAAAAUCCAGAGGAACUAAACUUUGUUGUUGUUUCUUUGGGCUCAAUUUCAGCCUCAGGCAAAAUUGAGCCCAAUUUCUUCUUUCAGAAGAAUGUUUUCUUCUGAAAGAAGAAAA